Molecule: long non-coding RNA, 859 nt
Organism: Lathyrus oleraceus (garden pea)
Lineage: Eukaryota; Viridiplantae; Streptophyta; Magnoliopsida; Fabales; Fabaceae
Exons: 3
Source: RefSeq, a predicted model, not a curated record
UUAAGAACAAAAUGGGUUCAUGGGGUAAGGUCCGUUGAGGGGGUGUGAACCGAAAUGCUUUUCUUGGGCCUAAGCAAUCCAAUAUGCCAAACCGGAUCAUGACGUUUCACUGGCCUCAUAAACCAAUUUCCACGCAUCCUCAACAUUGUAUCCAUGCAAACGAAACAAAACGCGCAACACAUGAACCGACUUUCCAAUCAUAUAACCAUGAAAUCUUCUUACUAAGUAGCGCGCGAGACAUUCUAUCCAAACAUGGAGCUAUCAAAUGCGGUAUGAGGAAUCACUUCGAAUUUGCUUCAAUCUUGCGCGAGAAACCAAGAAUUCGACAAACACGAACGAAAGAAAUCAAACCCCGAAUUCGAAUUGAGUUCAAAUUCCUCACUAAAUCGAACUCAAACACCGAAACAAAAUUUAUUCUUACAUGCGAAGAGGAAAAAACGAAAGGGAGAAAUAGCCUACCGGAUUCGACGCACCAGGUUGAAAUCACUUUGUUAUAGUUUUAUUUCCUCUUGUUAUCAGUUUGGAGGAAGUUGGGAAUUUGUGAGGCAUGUUGGUGUUGAAUGCAUUGGAUUGGUAUGGCAUUGCUAUUCCAAGACAACUUGGUGGAUGGAGAUGGCAAGAAGGAGAACUUGAAGAUCUGAAGGAAAUAGGCCAAUGGUUAAUAUUUAAUGGUUAAUAGGUUUCAUGUUAUGUAUCUUCUCACCGUGUAGCUUGAACGUGGUUUGGAUUCAAGCUUAGAAUUGUAAUUUGUUGGCUUUAUGAUGUAUAGACUAUUUUUGGAUCAUAUUGUAAGCUUGGAAAGUUGUAAUUGUUGUAACAUAAUUAUAUGGUUUAUGGAAAUGAAUAGUUUGAAAUUGAA